This 12441-nucleotide long non-coding RNA is filed under the name Setaria viridis. RNAcentral's name for it is "long non-coding RNA (SVIR_LNC009868)". Lineage: Eukaryota; Viridiplantae; Streptophyta; Magnoliopsida; Poales; Poaceae. The record is from RNAcentral.
AGGAAUUCAUGCCAUUCUUUAAAGUUACGGAGCCAGUAGUAACAGGAGUACACAAUCUUAGGCACUAGAUGAUUCUUUGUCUAAAAGACAAUAUUUCCAGUAACGAGUGCAGUGUUGCCAAAGAUGUAACCCUACAGAGAGAAUCAGAGAAACAAGUGUGCGAGGACACCAAUUUACAGAGCAUACAAAAAUGACUAGACAUCAGUUGGGCGCAACAAGUUCAAUGGACCCUACUGAAGUUGCAACUCAAGAACAUUGCAGAAACCGGACUAUGCAGCCAGUGCUCAAAUAUUCAGGCAAAUGGAUACACGAAGCAAGGGUCUUGAUGUACUGCAGCCAAUUGCCAACAUUUUGACUCUCUCUUUCGCAACCAAGACAAGACAUCACUGGUCAUGGAGAAACAGCAUAGAACAGUACAGACUGUUACAGAGUGCGAACAUAGGCGCCAAUUGCUUCGAUGUAAUCUUCUCCGUGCGCGAAAAAGCCAACAAUUCUGCUAUUGCUCUGCUCCGGAACGUGGAAAGCAGUUCCAAACUCUGUUCCAUAAGGCCCAUAUGAUCUGCCUGUGUUGGUCACAAGUGUAAGAGAAGAUAGAACAUUUUUAACUCCAUGCCAUGCACAAAAUGUUCCGGAAACUUUCACUAUAAACUCUGAAGGGUCAAAACGAAUCUGCAAAAAGGAAAAGAAAAAUUAGUGUACUGGUUAAGAUGCUGGUUAUUCAUUUCUCUAGAAGGUUCGCUGCAUGUGUUUAAUUAAGAGAAGGGAAUAAGUUUCUGUACGACCCAGGAAUGAGACAUUUUUCACCUGGCAUGGAAUGGAAUGAAAGUAAGGAACCAUGCGGGAAAAAAAACAAACGACCUGUAGAUGGAACAACAAUCUAGUCCACAUUGCAUAUCCCGUAGAUUUCAACAGGAUUAAUUAGUGCUAACCUUACGACCGCCACCUCCACAGCCGCCCCAUGGACCUGCAGUGUGCUGCUUGCCGUCAUGGUCACUGUAUAAAAACUCAAGUGAAUCUAUGAUAGUUCCACUAAAAAUUGUCACUCUUUCCAGGUGAUGUGGUGUUACUGUGAUGUCAUGAAGAACCCCUCGAUCUCCACCCCAAGGCCCUAUCCUGGCGACCCCAGGCUAGAAUUAAACCGAUUAAAAUAACAUUAGAAUGAAACUAAAAAUUAUAAAAUAAAACUAAUAUGUAGUAAAUCAGUACCUCUUCAAGUCCAAUUCUUUCCAUCUCAUGGUUUGUGUAGACACCAAUUGCAUCGAGAUAUCGCCCUGCACGCCCAAAGAAACCAACGAUGCAGCCAUUGCUCUCCAUUGGAAUGUGGUCCUCGCCCUUUUCCAAAUGGUCCAUAACUACGAACGUUGGUGACAAACGUAAGCGAUGUUAUAACGUUUACUAGAGUGUUGAAUGAACCGAUUGAUCCUGAUACUCCUGUCAGAAACUCCGAAGGUCCUAGCUUAAACUGCAAGAGAAAGAGAAACAAUAUUUCACAUGGAAAUAUAUCCUCAUAACUAUGACUAGUCAGGUACUAACUUUUAGUCAUAGCUCCUUGGAGGGUUAACAAGAUUUACCAUUAGCAGAACAUAGUUGGUAUGAAAAUUUGGCAGCUCAAGUGAAACAUUUUAGUACCUUGUAUUAACUUAUAAUUUACAAAUCUCUCACAAAGAUUUUUUUAGAAAAUGGAAUCUCUCAGAAAGAUAAAACCCUAGGCUAUUUCUAGAAUUAUACAGGAGUCUAAAUGUUACCACUAGGUUACUCCCAAUACAUUCAUUCAUAGCACACUCACCAAAGAUGAAAUACCAUAUGUAGAGGGAAUGAUAUACCCCUUCCAGUACAUAGUAUCAUACUAUUAUUAUAUUCCUCUGUAGUAACCAUAAGUCAAAUAAUUGAUGUAUUGAUUGUGGACAUGAUUUAACGCAUCAAGAUACUAGUUAUAAAUACCAUUCCUAUUUCAUUACUUACCAUGACAACAAAAUAUCCUAGGUGGCACAAAAUUAGUGUCUACAAUAUUGUGUCCAGUGGCAGUAGCCUUAGACCCUAUUUGGAUCUCACCAACUAAACUUUAGCUGGCUAAACUUCAGCUAAAAACCUAUUUGUAUCCAUAGCUAAAGUUUAGCUAGUAUCUUACCUACCGACCAGAUAAAGUUUAGCUACUGGCUUGUUGCCCCCAGCUAAAGCAGUUAAACUUUAGUUGGGUGGAUCCACAUAGCACCUUGUCUAUUUCUAGUGCACAACAUUGUGGGUAUUAAAUGACUGCCACGUACAUUUUUUUUCUGAUUCAACAAGGAAUUAAAUAAGAGAGAGAGCUUUCGGUCCAUAACCAAGGGUAAGAAACCAUGUGUAAGCUUAUGACACAUUGUCUUGGAUACACAUGCAACAGUUAAUUGACUGAAGGUUCCUAAAAACAUCACUAAUAUGCUACACAUUGGACGAGUUCUAUUAUACUUUUAUUUGUAUGACAUGAGAGUUUUGGAGAGAGUGGCAUUAUACAAUGCAGUGGUGAAUAACCUUAGGAGUCAUAGAAUCAAGAUAGUUAGCUGCCUCGGUUAUGUGCAUGCUGGCAUGCAUGUCUUGAUAUUUAGUCCCCCAGCUUUAAAUAAUGAUGACCUCUAGAAAUGCAAAUUUAACUUUGCGUUGCACACGCCUAAACAACAUCAUUCAUAUAUAGUUAUUUAGGAAAGAGUUAUUCCCUUCACACUCACCGUGUUGUUGUUUCCCCCAUGGCCGCCCCAAGGGCCUGUAGUGUGGUACAGGCCAUCGUGGUCGGUGUACGAAAACUCGAUCGAAUCGAUGAUAACUCCACUGCUAAUUGUAAUGCUGUCCAAACGGUAGGGUGGUAUUUUGAUGUCUUUUGACUCUCCUCCAUCUCCACCCCAUGGACCAAAUUUGGACAGCUCAAGCUGAGGCACACCGAUAAUAUUCAAAAUUAUAAAAGAAAAUUAUCUUUAGAUCGAUUUUGGAGCUAUUUCACAAUGACUAACGCUAACCUUACGAGCGCUACCUCCACAUCCUCCAGAUGGACCUGCAGUGCACUGCUGGCCGUUGUGGUCCUGUAUAAUUAAAUACUCCAGUGAAUUGAUCAUGAAAGUUGCACUGAAAAUUGUUUUUUUUUACCAGGUAAUGUGGUUUUACUGUGCUAUCAUGAUGAACCCCUCCAUCUCCACGCCAAGGCCCAUUUGAGGUGACCCUAGCCUUGAAGUAAAUCAAUUAAGUAUAUAUUAGAAUUGAAAACAUAAAUCAUAAAGUAAAACCAAUAUGAAAUAAAUUAAUUGUACAUCUUGGUCCGUAUAGAAACCGAUUGCUUCGAGAUAUCUCCUAGAAUGCCCAAAGAAACCAACAAUGCAGCCAUCGCUCUGCACUUGAAUGUGGAACGGUCUUCCUCGCGCUCUUCCAAAUGGUCCAUAGCUACGAGCAUUGGUGACAAAUGUAAGCGAUGUUAUAACUUUUUUGAGACCAUUGAAUGAGCCGAUUGAUCCUGAUACUCCUAUCAGAAAGUCCGAAGGACCUAGAUGAAACUGCAAGAGAAAGAAAAACAAUAUUUCACAUUAAUGAAAUAUCCUUCAGACAAAUAUGAGGUAAUAACUUUUAGCCGUACCACCUUAGGGAGAUAUCAAGAUUUACCACGAGUACAACAUAGGAGGUACAUAAAAAUGGUAUCUCAGAUUAUAAUUUCAGAAUGUUUCAAAAAAAAAUCCUAGUUUUUACUUAUGCUUCUCCCCAGUGAGUCCAAAUGUUAGGCUACUUCCAAACCAUUGUUUCAUAGCACACUCAUCGAAUACCAUGCUAUAUGGAGAGAGAUUGAUACAAGCCUUACAAAUACAUAAGAAAAGUUAAUUAUUUUAGAAGUUGUGGUCGUGCCAAAGGGACCAAAAUAUGUGCGUAAUUUCUUUGUUUUCACGUACCCAAGAUGUAACCCCAUGUAGAUAUUGCUUAUGUUUCUCUCUCUUAUUUAAUCACUUGCCAUUUCAGCAAAAUAUCUUAGCUGUCUGUGAAAUGAGACGUAGUCACCCAAUAAGCUUAAACAAUUUAACUUUUUAUGUUGCACACAUCUAAAUAAUAUCAUUUGUAUUUGAACGGAAGGGGUUCUUUCCACACUCACUGAGUUAGUGUUGCCGCCAAAGCCGCCCCAAGGGCCUAUAGUGUGAUACUGGCCAUCGUGGUCAGUGUAUGAAAACUGGAUCGAAUCGAUGACAACUCCACUGCUAAUUGUUACGCUGUCCAAACGGUAGGGUGCAAUUUUGACGUCUCGUGGCUUCCCUCCAGCUCCACCCCAUGGCCCAAAUUUAGCAAGCUUAAGCUGAGGGACACAAAUUAACAUUAAAAUUAAGUGAAAUGGAAGAAAACAAGAUAAAUUGACACUACAAUAGAGAUAUAUGGCUAAAUGCAUUUAUGGAAUGGAACAUUAAAAUAUCCGUGCUGAAGUCUACUACUUAUAUAAACGUGCACUUUUUAGAUGUGUAUGAUGUGUUGUUGUCUCAGCUUAGAAAGAUAUGUAUAUGAAACGUUAAUCUUUGCACAAGAUGUGGCUUAAGUUUGAAAGAUGUAUGGAAUGUGUAAUUUUUGUAUGAAUGUCUGAAUUUGUAAAUAUGUAUCAUGUAUGAAACAACCUUAUAGAGAUGGUUCCAUAGAGAAAAAUAUGUCUUAUGAAAUUAACCGAUGGUUAGUAGAAAACAUGUCUACGUUACUAUUUACCAAUGGCAAAAGUUAUCUAACAUACUGUCUUAUAUAUAUUUUUAUUUUUUAAUUUUCUUUUUAUGUUUAUGGUUUUUUAUAAUGAACCGAUUUAUUUUUUCUAGAUAACUCAACAGAUGCCUCUUCAUGUAAAAAUAUGUUAACUUUUGUCGAUUCAUAUCGACAUAAUGCAAGUUCUGUAAAUUCAUAUCCUCCGUCACUAGUAACCUAGGCCCAAGGGGUAACACAAGUCCCUAACAGUGAGUGUCUACGGAGGCAGCUAAUGAACCUACUUUGGAAAUAAUUUCUAGAGGUGGCCCGUCUAAGCCGAUUUGAUUUUCAGAAUCAUAAAAACUGCAAGAAAAAUAGCAUUUUUUCCUUUAACAUUCAACAAGCCCACUAGCUAAGCACUGCAGUCGCGUGUGUCGAGGCAAAAAGUCACGCACCCAUAUAUGUUUCAUAGGAUUCAAAAUGAAGAAACCUCCACCUUCACGGGAGCCAUCGUUACCACCCCACUUCGCGCUUGUUGCUGAUUGUGAUAAGAGAACCUUUCCUUUAGUAGCUUCAGCGGGAGCGACUUUGAGAAGCUGUCUUCUUAAUAGCACGCCUUUGGAAUUUUUCUUCAAAGGCGGGUCUCCUAAGGGCUCGCCUAUGGAAAUUAAAAAAAUAUAAAAAUAGUUUUAAAAUCUAUUUGAGAACUAGUAAUAAGUUUUAAAAUAAGUUUGUCCUCGCCCAACUUUAUAUAUUAAAAGUUGAGUUUUUUUGUGCUGCAUCUAUUUUUAAUGGUGGUUUCGGAGGUUGCCAUUGAGCCGCUUGACUAUUUCCAAGGGCAAUAGCUCGUUUCAACUAUCUGAUGUCUCCAAAAAUUAUUUUUACUGUUGCGGAGGAGAAGCAUGGAGGGAUCAUCAUAAGAGCACUAGGAUUAUGAUUUAUAUAAUUCAACCUUAUAUUCUUCUAGCUGAAUACAGCUGUGAUGCUAACUUCAUCACCACUGUGGCGCACCAAGAGACGAUGCUAUGUAUUAGAAAUAAUUAUAGUGUAAUUAUUAUUCAAUAAUGUAAAUUAUAUAUAUGAAUGAAGCAAUCUAUUAUUGAGAUUAUUUAUUAGUUAAUUAUGUUUUUUCUUGCAAAAAAGUAAUUUAGUUUCUUUUUCCCAAUCAAUAUGAAAUUGCUAAGAUGCAUGGUAAUCCUUUCUAAGUUUAAAUAUGGGCGUACAUAUGUACAAAAUCCAAAGGAAUGCAUAAAAAACAAAGUAAACCUAUAAUUUUGAUCCCACAUGCCAGCUAAAAAUCUCAAAUUUAAGAUCCAAACUAAAAUUAAAGGUACAAAAAUCCAUUUUAUGUGAAACAACUACCUUUCAAACAUCUAAAAUCGAUCAAAUUCCCACUACAUAGAGAACAAGACUCGCAAGGAAAGAAAUAUCGCACAAAGAUGGGAUGGUUAGUAAUUAAUUAAACUCUAUACAGAGUAUGAAGCUGUUCUUUUCCAAUCCUAGGAAUUGCAUGUGUGUGUAUUUAUUUAGCAUGAAAAUCACAUGACUUCCAACUUGUCGCGCACAAUCAUGUGGGUAGACUAGGUCAGUAUUCUAAGGGCCUCAGAAUAGAACCACCUGGGAUACUUGUUGUAUCAGAUGAGUUUUUUUUACCCUUAUUUCAUAGCAUACCAUUAUACCUUGCAAAAUCUUUGAUUGUUCAAAAACCAAGUUGGUAUGUGUUUUUUUAACCAUUUGAAUAGAGUAUCUGUAAAGUAGUGCCAAGUCUUAAGAAAUUCAGUUUUCCUGGUAGUUGACUAUAUUAGUAAGGCUAUUCCCAAUGGAGGUCGUUUCAUAUGAGUUUCAUUCUCAUUUAAUGGCGUGACACAUCAGCAAUUCUGCUAACAUGGCAUGAUAAUUAUGAAGAGAGAGAAGGCAGCAGUUUCAUCAUGAUGAAACUAUGUAUGCACUGUAUCCAAAACUAUGAAACCUGUUGAAACCAGCAUUGGGGCUAGAGAGUUUCAUUUCGUAUGAUCACGUGCAUCGUAAUUAAAUGCAAUGGCCACCAGCCUAUAAAACUACGAAGUGAAACUAUGCAUUGGAAGGCUUUGUUUUAUUCAUCAAAAUAUCUUGUAGUGCGAAAUGAAACUCCCCAUUGGGAAUUAACAAAUUUGAUGCCCGGAAGUUGUGGUGGUCAUGAAAGGAAGACCGAUUGAAAGGAAAAUACAACAGGUAGUUAACUUUUUGCAACUGUUUCAGCCAGAUUAAUGCUCUUUUCUGUGUUAUCUAGAAGCCACUAGUUUAUACUAUCAUGCAAGUUGAUACCUACUUACCCGGCCAUUUUGAGCAGACCCAACGGCAGAUCGGUUUGCUGCUUCCGUUUCCUCCAGCAUACAUAGGAUAUCAGGCAUAGAUGGCCUAUCCUCUGGUUUAGGCUGCGUGCACCUCUGUGAUAUCUCGAUGCAUGCUUUUAUUUGCUGGUAGCCAAUGUCCAAUUGCGUCUCCUUCAUCUGUGAUGAAUCCUUUACGAGCCUAGUCAUCCAGCUCACCAGUACCUGACUAGGAAUAAUGUAUCUCAUUACUAAAAAAACAUUGAAAAAUACUGGUUGUUUUAACUAUAUUUAUUUAUGUAAAGGGAGUGAUCAAUUAGGCUAGUCUCAGUGCAUUGUAUCCUGUUACAAUAUCCAAGGUUGUCAUGUCAAAUACUAAUACAAAUAUGAUAAACUCUAAUAAUGCAUAGUAUCAUAGGGUUUUUUCCUUAUAGUCACACAAGACAAUUAAUUAUUGUUUGAUUGUGUCUAUGGUAGUGGACCCAAGACAAGUAUCAUAUGAAACAAUUCCAUCCCAAAGCUAGGUCCGCUUUCCAAUCGUGGGAUUUCGUGCCAAAGCUGUAUCUCCACGACGGUACAUGUUUUUCUCUCUUUAUUAAUUCGUUAAGUUAGAAAAAAGUCCUACAUGGCAUCUAAUUGAUGUGCAUGAUGCUAAUAAGCAUUCUAAAUUAUAUGUUUCUUUAAUUUUAUCCUAUAUCAAACUAAAUUUGAACAAAUUUACAGAAGAAUACACUAUCAAGACAUAUUUAAUUUCAUUGUAUAUUUAAUAAUUUGAUGUUGUAAAUGUUAAUAUAUAUGUUUUCUACAAACUUUGUCAAAGUUAGACAGGUUUGACUUAGGACAAAGCUAAAGCAUACAUCUUGGUCAGACGUAGCUCCGGUGUUACGUCCCUUCACCAUGUGUCCAAUUAUCACACCCAAACUAUAUAUGUCUGCCUUGACUGUGAUUACUCCACUGUCUAUGUACUCGGGUGCCAUGUAUCCCCUGCAUGCAUGGAAAACGACAAUGUCAAGGUGGGAUCCAAACUGAAAGCUGACACCAGGAAAAAACAUAUGGACAGAUAGUAUGCAUGAUUAACUAUGAACCUCUCUCAGGGAAAUUAUAGACUUAGCUCACCGUGUUCCACAUAUCUUUUCAGUGAUUGUGCGGCUUUCUUUAUUUAAGAGCCUUGACAGACCAAAAUCCGCAAUUUUGGGCACCAUGCCAUCAUCAAGCAAUAUAUUAUCUGGUUUGAGAUCUAGAUGAACUAUGUGCCUCUCAUGCAGAUAAUCCAAACCGAGACAAAUUCCUUUUAUUAUUUGGUAACAAACACGCCAUUGAAGCCCACAAGGUUCGACUACAUAAAUAGACACAUGAAUAUCAAUCAACAUAUGUCAACAAUGCUAAAAAAAUAAAUAUCCAGAUAUUUUUACUAAAAACAGUAUCCUAAGUCAAACUUUUUUAACUUUCAUAAAUUUUUAGAAAAAUAUAACUUUAGAUAUUGGUAUAUUUUUCUAUAAAUUUAGUUAAACUUAAAAUUUAGACUUAGGACAAAAUCUAAAGUGAGCUAUAACUUGGAAUGUAGAGCGUAUAAAAAUUAGGGGGUGUUUGGGAGAGGGGUGCUAAAUUUUAGCACCCCCAUUUUAGUCACUUUUAGCCACUAGUGCUCCCAAACACCUAGGCUAAAAUGGAGGGGCUAAAUUUUAGCCCCUCAUAAUCCAUUAGCCCCUCAAGAGGUGCUAAAAUGGACUAAAGGGGCUAAAAGUGGUCCCCCUUAUCCAAAAUUUCUCCCCUUGCCCCUCUCUCUCUCCUCCCUCCCACUCCUCCAACAUGGGUAAAUAGGUCUUUUAUCAACAUAGGUGCUAAACUUUAGCCCCUUACCCAAACACCCCAAGGGCUAAACUUUAGCCUCAACUUUUGAGAGGGCUAAAGUUUAGCCCAAGGCUAAAUUUUAGCCCCUCCUCCCAAACAAGGCCUUAAUAUGUUGACUAAACCUUGUUACUUUGGCAUAACAAGCACAUUACACUUUUUCAACAUAAGGCCAUAAUUCUAUCUAUGAUAGUGGGCCAGUGGCUGCUUGGUAACAUGUUUUUCCGCCACCUGAUGACAAGAGAAGGUACCUCAAUUUCUUUGUGGAAAUUUGACUACGACAUACAGCAAAAGAGUGUGAUUUUAUUUACAGGACAGUAGAUUAGUCGAUUUACAUGCAGAACGUGACUUUUAUCAACGGGAUCCUGUGGGAAGGGACCAGCAUGCAUUUUCCCCCCACUAGUAAAGAACUCACCUUCCAUCCACCCCUUUUGUCCCGGUUAAUAUUUGGCCCAUGACUAAAAGUGGCGCCCCACCGAAGGCCAGCACGGGGGCGGAGCUUUAGUCCCGGUUGGUAUUUACAACCGGGGCUAAAGCCCCCCUUUAGUCCCGGUUGUAACGGUUGGAAAAUUUGCACCGGCGCCUCCUCCUUUUGUCAUGGUUGGUAACUCCAACUGGGACAAAAGGUUUACUCCGGGUUGGUAAUUCCAACCAGGACAAAAGGCUGAGGCUUUUUCCAACCGGGACAAAAGGCUGAGGCUUUUGUCCCGGUUGAAGUUUCCAAUCGGGACUUAACUACCAACCAAGAUAAAUUUGUUUUUUUAUCCCGGUUGGAUAUCCCGGUUGGAAUUUCCAACUGGGACAAAAUCUCCUUCCCUAUAAAGUCACCAUACAGAGACCUCUUUUUUCUCCUCCAGCCCGAGCCACUUGGCUCCACCAGAGACAUUCGGCCUCCUCUCCAUGGCAACGAAGCAACCCUAGGGGAGAUGUUGCCCGAAUUUUUUUUUUCCUUAUUUCUGUGGGGAUUUCACUCAUCCAAAGUGUUGUAAAAGUUAGCUACUUCGUGCUCCCUUCAUUUAUUAUUAUUAUGCUUUAUUUUAUGCUUUAGAGAGGGAGAGAAAUGAGUUUUUUUAGAAUGAGGAAGAAUGAAAAGGAUUUUUAUUUAUACAUGUUUUUGAGCUAGAAUGUGAUGGAUAGCUUACUUGUUAAAUACGAUUCAUAUUAGUUAAAAGAACUUGAUCAAUAUUAGGUAUGAAAAAAUAUAGUAAAUGUGUUUUUAGUAUUUAGUCAUUGCAAUAAAAUUAAGGUAAAUAAAUUGUAGGUGUAAGAAAAUAGAACAGUAAGGAUUAGGAUACACCACCAUACAAACCAAAUAGUUGAAAUAGCACAGUAAUGAUGGAGAUCAUGAAGUACAAACCAAAUGUUCUUCUCCAUGUCUUCUACAUCUCCAACUUUCCAGUACGUAUGAAGUUUGCACAUUUUGUAUAUUCUAUAACACGAAUAUUUCUAUGUGAAUACUACGUCUGUGAGUUCCUAUACAGUUUUGUGGGACCCAAGGCCAUGAUUAUGCCGCAUGAGCAGCAAGUAGGUAAAAUAAAUUUAUUAAUACUUAAUUAUUUUCUAGCUCCUUAUAUUUAAUUGUUUGUGUAACACAUAUUUCCAAAUUACAGAUGUGGAAUAUUCAACGUAGAAUCUUGGAGAAGGAGAGAUUAUGGGCAAUAUGUGAAGGUCUCGUGGGAUUCCUAGUGGACGAGGUGAUAAAUUCAGCGGGAGAAUUUCAUUACGACGGACGUUCAUUAGACGCACCGAGCAACACCUCGACGGGAGGAUCCUAGGAAUGACCGGGACAAAUUUUUGUAUAUAUAGUAAUUGUUUAAAUACUAGUUUGAUUUGUAUAAUAUGCUAAAAAUUGUAUAGUAUACUAAGAAAUGUAUAUAUAGUAAUUGUAUAAAUACUAAUUUGAUUUUAUUAAAAAAAGUCUUAGUACUAAAGGGGUACAUGCAUGCACCAUGCAGGCACAUGCAUGGAUGCCCUUUACUUCCGGUUAAACGAUCAGGGACUAAAGACCUCCCCUUUCAUCUCGAAAAUUUUAUCCUGGAUAGAUUUUAGAGAGAUUUGAGGUCUACCAUCCAGGACUAAUGCCGAGUUUUCUACCAGUGCCCUCAGUUCACAAAUUAAAAUCUCUUCAAAAUUUGCAAAAUGAUAUAAUGCUCUAAUAUGAUACUUGUGAAUUUAAAUGAUUUUUUGGAAUUAUUUGCUUGGGUUUCCAAAAUCAUUUCAGGUUGGGGCCAGGAAUGCCGAACAAAAUAUAAUGAAAACAAUCCAUAAAAAUCCAUAAAAGACCAAAUGGUAAAUUGAAUAUUGCGCCAUUAUCUAUGUUUCAGCAUAUAUUAUGUUCUAUGCAUGGAGAAAAAUUAUUCAUAAUGGUGUUUUCCCAUGUUUCAGUGUUCGAGCACAAAAGCUAUGUAUUUGUGCAGCGAUCUAGGCAAAAUCGAUUAGUCAAAUAUCCUGUGAAUAAAACAUUUUUUUUGAGGUUUGUUGUAGAACUAAUUUCGCAGCUGUACAACUUUAAUUUACAUUUUAAUAGCUCUAGAAUAUGUCCUACUUACCAAUAUACUUGUGUUAAAUACUUGACAGUUUGAACAUCAUGUAGUCAAAUUUGUAAAACUCGAACAAUCACUAAGUUUUAAAAUAUCAGUCUAAAUCUGUCUUGGAAAGAACAACCAAAGUCUCAUAAAUUUGUUAGAUAUUUAAAACGCAUUCAAGUAUAGAAAGUAGUGUUUAAACGUGUGCACAUAAAAAAACAUGCUAAAUAAAAAACAUAAAGUAUUUUGAACUGGACGUUGUACUUAGAAAAGAAAAUCCAUCCAUUCUGAGUGACUAGAUCACAUGUUUGUUCCACAGUCAUACCUGUAAGAUGCUUGCCAAGGCUUCCAUUACGCAAAUACUUGAAGCAAAGUAAUUUUUCUCGUGUUUCCGCGAAAAUAUUUUUCACUCCUUGUGGCACCACCUCUACCUGCGUGUCAGCACAGUACCCAACAAACCAGACUAUGUUGUGGUGCCUAAUCUUCAUCAGACAACCAACCUCGCGAUUAAAUGUUUCAUCUUCGAUUGCAUAAGAUGAGUAUAACUUCUUGACAGCAACAAAGCCAGUUGUUCCAAGGACUCCCUGUGUGAUUUCAACUAUACCUUCCUUAAUUAUUGACUAUUGUGUAAUAUUAUAUUUCCAGGAGCAUUUAUCUAUUUAAUAGAAAAAGGUAGAAUGACUAAAAAUAAAUAAUCUAUAAACUCCGAUAAAAUAUUUGGUCAUUUAUUUUGGUGAAUGUCUUGUGAGCAUAAAUAUUAUAUUUAAAUAGACUAGAUCAUUGACACUACGAAGCAUGCCGGCUAGCUCUUUCUGGUGGAGGAUGUAUUGACACUAUCCCAAAACUUUUUCAUGAUGGCAAUUUGCACAGCUCAUAAGGGGGACUCAGUUCUGUGUGGCGAUGAUCUGCUAGCCCUUUCUUUCCCCUUCUAACUAGUAAGACCUUGAUAGUGUAUUGCCCCAUACUGAAUGCUUUGAGAUGUAAAUCAUGUCAAAAUUUUGUCCGUUCAGAUGAAGAAAGUGAACUAAUUAUAGAAUGGAAUGAUUUUUAUUGUAAAACUUAAAAAAAAUUGCAAUUAGGAAAAAAAAAUCCCACGU